AAUUAAUUUACCAAAUUUGACCCACCAUUGAACGGUUUCAUUUCUCUCUCUAACAGCCACUUCUCUCUCUUAACUUCAUCGUCCCCCCAUUUCUGUUUCCUCCAUUUCUCAGAAACAGGGGUUAAGGUUAACCCAAUUUACGACCCGAUUCUAUCCCAUAUCCGACCCGUUUCCCUGCGUAAUCACCUCGACACCAAUCUAUGAUGCCCUAGUUCUUGGGGGCAUCAUCAUCUUCAACAGUUCCUCUUUGAUUCUUACAAAUUUCUGGAAGAAAUCAACAUUUUGGGAUCGUUUUUUGGGGACGCAUUUGGUUGAUUUCUCGAGAUUAGAGAGACAAUUGGUGGGUGCCAUUUAUUUUGCAGAUUGAUGAACCCUAGCUAUUUAUGCCUGAUUGUAAAUUUGGUGAAGAUUUUGCUUAAUUGAAGGAAAAACCCAGAUGUCAGGAGGAUUUGGUGAGUUGAUUUGGAUGAAAGGGGUUCAAAUGAAGGUAAAUGGGUUUUGAAGAUUCAUAUAGUUGACACCAAAUUAGCUUUGUAUUGAGGUUUAACGAUUGAUUUGCUCAUGUAUGGAUCCUUCAUUGUUAAUCUUAACCUUUUUGGGUGUUUGCUUUUGCUUCCUUGCUCUUGCCGUGCAAUCUCAGCAAAAUGUGAGUCCUCCUUCUCCGCCGCCGCCGCCGUCUAACCAAUCUCCUCCUCCACCGCCUCCACCACCAUCACCAGGGCCUCCUCCUCCUCCAUCCCAGCAAAAAUACCAUUCUCCACCACCAACUAAAUCUGUGAAUUCUGCGACCACCUCGGAGAGUAAACACUCUAAUCAUGAUAAAAAACACCAUAACUCUUACGGGAAAUCGCAUCAACCAGCAAAGAAAAAGAAGCCAAAUUUGGGGAAGAAACUGGGGUUAGUGUUUGUGGGUGUUGCUGGGAUGUUGCAGGUGUGUGUGGUGGCGUUCUUGCUAAUAAAGAGAAGACAAUUGUUAAAGGCUGGUAGUAGAUUUUGAAUGAACAUUUGAAUAUGGAUGUAUAUCAGUUAGUCUAAUUAAUUCAGAAUUUUACGAGACCGCGAAAGGCAAUGAACACGGCAUUGAUGAAUUAGAAGCAUUGGGUUCAUCUGACAUGUAGAUUUCUGCAUUUGCAUUGGUGGCUACUGUAAAUUUGGUCUCAAAGUUGUAAGAAUGAUAUCUUGCUUCGUUUGUCAAUUUUAAGGAACUGUACUGGAUUUGUUCUGGAGAACAUAGUGUUACGUCUUCUCUGUCCGGUGAGUAAAAAAUGUAGGGAAACGAGCAUACUGUUGAUGAAGGCAUGACCUGUCAUCGUCGCAACUGAAAUAUGAUUUCUAAUGUAGAGGUUUAACACUGUAAAACUCUUUUAACUGUUGGUAUAGUCUAACUGUUGCAUCUGAUAUGAAAACUUUCUAAUACGCUGGCAAAAUAAUAUCUACCUUGAUUCUUGAAUAAUGUUGCUUUAUUGCGUUAUAAUAUCUAUCUACAUAGUAAAAACAUAUUUCUUAUGUUGAACGUGCAAAAACAUGAGUUGCGAAGUUGAGUAACCUGAGAUUUCAGGUUCAAAACUCAGCGGAGACAAAAAAAUACUAGGUGAUUCUUCCCAUUUGUUCUUGCCUUUGUGGACACAGUUACCUGGUACUUGAUAUCUGUUGUUGUGGAAUUAGUAGAAGUGCGCAAAAGCUGGUCCGAACACCAGAGUCAUAAAAAAAAAGUUGCAAGGCUAGGACCACUGAAAAAAUGUUAUCUUUAGUCUGAAAAUAUGUUCCUCUUUGGUGUGAGCAUGUUUCUUUUUUGACAUGAUAAUAUGAAGGAUUGUCAUUUUCCCUCUUUUUUUAAGUCGAAGGUCUAUACAAGAUGACGUAUCUACCCCACAAAGGUGAGGGUGACACUUGCGUACAUUUUACCUUCUUUCGACUCCACUUAUGGAAUUACAUUAGUGUUUGGAUAAGCUUUCGCAACUUGACUAAUUUCAUGGGAUACUGUCAACCAAGGGCGGACCCACAAGUAAGGCACGGGAUUCGGG
Molecule: long non-coding RNA, 2024 nt
Organism: Solanum lycopersicum (tomato)
Lineage: Eukaryota; Viridiplantae; Streptophyta; Magnoliopsida; Solanales; Solanaceae
Source: RefSeq, a predicted model, not a curated record